AUCACUUCUCAGUCUUCUGGCUAAGAUCAACUGUAGUUUCUGUUCUUAUCAGUUUAAUAUCUGAUAUAUCCUUCAGCCAGGACAAAAAAAAAAAGAAAAAAGAAAAGAAAAGAAAAUCAUU
This 121-nucleotide small nuclear RNA is filed under the name Balaenoptera musculus (blue whale). RNAcentral's name for it is "U2 spliceosomal RNA (ENSBMSG00010010589.1)". It matches the Rfam family "U2 spliceosomal RNA". Rfam says of the family: U2 is a small nuclear RNA (snRNA) component of the spliceosome (involved in pre-mRNA splicing). Complementary binding between U2 snRNA (in an area lying towards the 5' end but 3' to hairpin I) and the branchpoint sequence (BPS) of the intron results the bulging out of an unpaired adenosine, on the BPS, which initiates a nucleophilic attack at the intronic 5' splice site, thus starting the first of two transesterification reactions that mediate splicing. Lineage: Eukaryota; Metazoa; Chordata; Mammalia; Artiodactyla; Balaenopteridae. The record is from Rfam by way of RNAcentral.